Molecule: non-coding RNA, 75 nt
Filed under: Piscibacillus halophilus
Lineage: Bacteria; Bacillati; Bacillota; Bacilli; Caryophanales; Bacillaceae
Source: RNAcentral
CAAUCACGGCAGUGAUGCUGUGAUGAAUUGUAAGAAGUCAGCCGAGGCCAUAGUAGUUCCAAAGGAAUGAAGGGC